RNAcentral lists this ribosomal RNA (200 nucleotides) under uncultured bacterium. RNAcentral's name for it is "partial 16S ribosomal RNA". It matches the Rfam family "Bacterial small subunit ribosomal RNA", at positions 29 to 256 of the family's 1533-position model. The record is from RNAcentral.
AGCGAACGCUGGCGGCAGGCCUAACACAUGCAAGUCGAACGAGACCUUCGGGUCUAGUGGCGCACGGGUGCGUAACGCGUGGGAAUCUGCCCUUGGGUUCGGGAUAACAGUUGGAAACGACUGCUAAUACCGGAUGAUGACUUCGGUCCAAAGAUUUAUCGCCCAGGGAUGAGCCCGCGUAGGAUUAGCUUGUUGGUGAG